UUUCCGUAGGUGAACCUGCGGAAGGAUCAUUAGAAAUGUGGGCCAUAGGUCUUCUUUUUUAACCUGUGCACUGUUUGUUUGGCGUGUGAUCAAGUUAUUGAUCGCCGCCGCCCGGGUGGCAUGAAUCAGUUCCCUUUUGGGGGGGCGGAGGAUUGCGCCUAAUUAUUUGACUAUUCUGACUGAUCAAACAAAUGAAAAUUGUUAACAUAUAAACAACUUUCAGCAAUGGAUCUCUCGGCUUUC
This 243-nucleotide unclassified non-coding RNA is filed under the name soil metagenome. Its description in RNAcentral is "partial contains small subunit ribosomal RNA, internal transcribed spacer 1, and 5.8S ribosomal RNA". The record is from RNAcentral.